AUUUGAAUCCUUGAUCUCAUUGACUCGAUCAAAGCGAGGUUGCGCCUUACCGCCAAUUUAGGGGUCUUAUUAAGUCCGGGAAACCAUUUGUAUCAGUACCCUGGUAUCAGUACCCUGAUAACAAACAUCCGUCAGACUGGCCGUGGUCCGUUGAUUUUAUUUGGAUCACACGGCCUAUGGUUCCCGUCAUUAACGCUGGAAUUUAACAUCAAAUUAAUGCGUGAAUUUAGCCUUUCCUAGUAAAUCUAGCCUGCUCGGCCCACCCACUCCACCCAGUCUCGCAUCUCACGGGCGAGCCAAUCCAGUCCCGAGCUCGCUGCGGUCGCUGCUCACGGCGACGGCUACCUCCGCCACGACCUGCUCGGCACCACAGCUCCGCGACGGCUACCUCUUCCACAACUAGCUCCGCACCAAGGCUACAGCUGCUCCACCUCGCCGGUGCUGCGUCCCGCUCCCGUCUACUUCGCCGGAACACUGCUCUCACCAACCCCCGUCGCCGCCCCGCAACAGCGCCGUUUCGGAACCGCAAAGAAGUUGCACGCGCAUCCUAGCCGUCGCCCCUGGUGUUUUCCUUCCACAGUUCAACCAAAUUCUAUAAACUUUUUGGAAUGUAGGUGAUCGAACCAUCUGUGAGUUCUGCUUGGCGCCGCCCUUGAUAACACGGUGGCCAUGGCCUCAAGCUGUAUGUGUGACAUUUACGGUGUUGUGGAAGACACAAAUGAGCCAAUGGCCUUGCCAUGCCCACCGAGGAGAUUGUGGGUGGACAAGAUUUAGAGGCCAGUGACGAUAUUGUCCGCAGAAGAGACAAUGUGCUAGCAUCCAGCUCAAGUUUAACAAAUUUUUGAUUUCUUUGGAUGCAAAUUAUAUUAUUUUUCGGAAGUAGAUUCUAAUUAAUAUCUCUAGAAGCAAUGUCUGAUUGAUGGAAACAACAAUAUUUUUUUGGUUGGGGGCAAUUCCAUGUUUCACUUGACACAAUUUUUUGGCCGUUGUAUUGUCUAUGCGUAGCAAACAAUAUACACUGAUAGAUUGUACAUAAUUAUCACUAGAUCAAAGCAAUCAUCCGCUGGCAUGGAACAUUUUCUCA
Long non-coding RNA from Triticum aestivum (bread wheat), 1084 nucleotides. RefSeq lists it as uncharacterized. NCBI's taxonomy places the organism in Eukaryota, Viridiplantae, Streptophyta, Magnoliopsida, Poales, Poaceae. The record is from RefSeq and is a predicted model, not a curated record. The transcript has 2 exons.